GUGCAGCAGGCGCGAAAACUUUACAAUGCGGGCAACCGUGAUAAGGAAACCCCGAGUGCCAGCAUAGGCUGGCUGUCCACCAGUGUAAACAACUGGUGAAGAAAGGGCCGGGCAAGACCGGUGCCAGCCGCCGCGGUAAUACCGGCGGCUCGAGUGGUGGCCGCUUUUACUGGGCUUAAAGGGUCCGUAGCUGGAUUUGCAAGUCCCUUGAGAAAUCUAUUUGCUUAACAGAUAGGCGUUCAGGGGAAACUGUGAUUCUAGGGACCGGGAGAGGUAAGAGGUACUGCCGGGGUAGGA
RNAcentral lists this ribosomal RNA (297 nucleotides) under uncultured archaeon. RNAcentral's name for it is "partial 16S rRNA". It matches the Rfam family "Archaeal small subunit ribosomal RNA", at positions 330 to 631 of the family's 1478-position model. The record is from RNAcentral.